Molecule: ribosomal RNA, 1195 nt
Filed under: Escherichia coli
Lineage: Bacteria; Pseudomonadati; Pseudomonadota; Gammaproteobacteria; Enterobacterales; Enterobacteriaceae
Description: partial 23S ribosomal RNA
Rfam family: Bacterial large subunit ribosomal RNA
Source: RNAcentral
GUUAAGCGACUAAGCGUACACGGUGGAUGCCCUGGCAGUCAGAGGCGAUGAAGGACGUGCUAAUCUGCGAUAAGCGUCGGUGAGGUGAUAUGAACCGUUAUAACCGGCGAUUUCCGAAUGGGGAAACCCAGUGUGUUUCGACACACUAUCAUUAACUGAAUCCAUAGGUUAAUGAGGCGAACCGGGGGAACUGAAACAUCUAAGUACCCCGAGGAAAAGAAAUCAACCGAGAUUCCCCCAGUAGCGGCGAGCGAACGGGGAGGAGCCCAGAGCCUGAAUCAGUGUGUGUGUUAGUGGAAGCGUCUGGAAAGGCGCGCGAUACAGGGUGACAGCCCCGUACACAAAAAUGCACAUACUGUGAGCUCGAUGAGUAGGGCGGGACACGUGGUAUCCUGUCUGAAUAUGGGGGGACCAUCCUCCAAGGCUAAAUACUCCUGACUGACCGAUAGUGAACCAGUACCGUGAGGGAAAGGCGAAAAGAACCCCGGCGAGGGGAGUGAAAAAGAACCUGAAACCGUGUACGUACAAGCAGUGGGAGCCUCUUAAUGGGGUGACUGCGUACCUUUUGUAUAAUGGGUCAGCGACUUAUAUUCUGUAGCAAGGUUAACCGAAUAGGGGAGCCGAAGGGAAACCGAGUCUUAACUGGGCGUUAAGUUGCAGGGUAUAGACCCGAAACCCGGUGAUCUAGCCAUGGGCAGGUUGAAGGUUGGGUAACACUAACUGGAGGACCGAACCGACUAAUGUUGAAAAAUUAGCGGAUGACUUGUGGCUGGGGGUGAAAGGCCAAUCAAACCGGGAGAUAGCUGGUUCUCCCCGAAAGCUAUUUAGGUAGCGCCUCGUGAAUUCAUCUCCGGGGGUAGAGCACUGUUUCGGCAAGGGGGUCAUCCCGACUUACCAACCCGAUGCAAACUGCGAAUACCGGAGAAUGUUAUCACGGGAGACACACGGCGGGUGCUAACGUCCGUCGUGAAGAGGGAAACAACCCAGACCGCCAGCUAAGGUCCCAAAGUCAUGGUUAAGUGGGAAACGAUGUGGGAAGGCCCAGACAGCCAGGAUGUUGGCUUAGAAGCAGCCAUCAUUUAAAGAAAGCGUAAUAGCUCACUGGUCGAGUCGGCCUGCGCGGAAGAUGUAACGGGGCUAAACCAUGCACCGAAGCUGCGGCAGCGACGCUUAUGCGUUGUUGGGUAGGGGAGCG